This 392-nucleotide small RNA is filed under the name Histoplasma capsulatum. Its description in RNAcentral is "hypothetical RNA". Lineage: Eukaryota; Fungi; Ascomycota; Eurotiomycetes; Onygenales; Ajellomycetaceae. The record is from RNAcentral. RNAcentral also lists the same sequence under 1 other name.
CGGCUAGCCGUGGAGUGGUAAAUUGAGGGCGUUUACCCCACAUCCCACGGGUUUUUUGUCAACAAUCAGAUAGGGUUUUUAAGGAUCAUGAUGGUCGCCGAGAGAUCGGAUUAUCCUUUGGUUUGUUUCGCCGCUCGCAGGCCGCCAUCAGGCGCGCGGCCAUCAAUUGAUUCUUGAUUGCUAAGCAAGAUAACGCGUCCCUCCGCAUGGGCAGGGGAAACGUAGGCCGAACACGAGGGAACAAGUCCUGCAACUUAAUUGCUGACCGGCGGUCAGCUUGAAGAGGUUCAACUACGUGAUCUCGACCCUGGAAAAGCAGGCCUCGGUGGAAACCUUGGAACGGCGGAAACAGCGUAAAAAUGAGCAAGGCGCAGCGAAAGACUCAAAACGCA